RNAcentral lists this small RNA (823 nucleotides) under Pan troglodytes (chimpanzee). Its description in RNAcentral is "processed transcript". The record is from RNAcentral. Lineage: Eukaryota; Metazoa; Chordata; Mammalia; Primates; Hominidae.
GAGGCCUGGGCUUGGAGAAGGAGCAUCGACAGGGUGAAGGUGAAGUUCUGGAAAUAGAAACAGUGAUGAUACCACUUCACAGCCUGGGGGCCACUCCACUGUCACAGCGCUGUUGGGAAGAAGCUGUAAGGUGCUGCUUUCAUCUAUACAAGUUGUGCUGGUGGCCAGGGGUAGGCGUGAGUUUUGGGAGGUGAAGUAUCUGUGUGUGUGAAGGAUUCUGUUUUGAGAAAGAAGGAAAUGGGAACUUACUAAUUUGUAGAAUGGAAACUAGCAAAAUUAGGCAAAGCAUGGUGAGAGCAUGUGCAGCAGGAAGAGGAGACCCCGCAGAGCUCAGAAGAGGUGGAGGAGGGGCUGGCCUCCCCGGCCUCAGGACUUCAGGGAUCCCACUGCGUCUUCUCUGCUCCUGCUUGGGCUGGAUUUCACCGGCCAGGUGUCUCUCUCCCCAGCACUUCCAGCCACUCCAGGAUGUCCCUGGCCUGCCAGCAGCCUCCACCAGUGGGAAAAGCCCCUACACCAGUGGAUAUCAUGGAAAUAAAAGAAAUCCGCCCAGGGAAGAACUCCAAAGAUUUCGAGCGAGCAAAAGCAGUUCGCCAGAAAGAAGACUGCUGCUUCACCAUCCUGUAUGGCACUCAGUUCGUCCUCAGCACGCUCAGCUUGGCGGCUGACUCUAAAGAGGAUGCAGUUAACUGGCUCUCUGGCUUGAAAAUCUUACACCAGGAAGCGAUGAAUGCGUCCACGCCCACCAUUAUCGAGAGUUGGCUGAGAAAGCAGAUAUAUUCUGUGGAUCAAACCAGAAGAAACAGCAUCAGUCUCCGAGAGUUGA